This 156-nucleotide ribosomal RNA is filed under the name Alternaria embellisia. Its description in RNAcentral is "5.8S ribosomal RNA". The stretch from base 1 to 135 matches the Rfam family "5.8S ribosomal RNA", at positions 20 to 154 of the family's 154-position model. From Rfam's summary of the family: 5.8S ribosomal RNA (5.8S rRNA) is a component of the large subunit of the eukaryotic ribosome. It is transcribed by RNA polymerase I as part of the 45S precursor that also contains 18S and 28S rRNA. The record is from RNAcentral. Lineage: Eukaryota; Fungi; Ascomycota; Dothideomycetes; Pleosporales; Pleosporaceae.
CUUGGUUCUGGCAUCGAUGAAGAACGCAGCGAAAUGCGAUACGUAGUGUGAAUUGCAGAAUUCAGUGAAUCAUCGAAUCUUUGAACGCACAUUGCGCCCUUUGGUAUUCCAAAGGGCAUGCCUGUUCGAGCGUCAUUUGUACCCUCAAGCUUUGCU